Molecule: ribosomal RNA, 199 nt
Filed under: uncultured bacterium
Lineage: Bacteria
Description: partial 16S ribosomal RNA
Rfam family: Bacterial small subunit ribosomal RNA
Source: RNAcentral
ACGCUCGACACCUACGGGAGCAGCAGUCGGGAAUAUUGCGCAAUGGAGGAAACUCUGACGCAGUGACGCCGCGUAUAGGAAGAAGGUUUUCGGAUUGUAAACUAUUGUCGUUAGGGAAGAGAAAGGACAGUACCUAAGGAGGAAGCUCCGGCUAACUACGUGCCAGCAGCCGCGGUAAUCUGAGGCGGGCUGGCAAGGC